RNAcentral lists this ribosomal RNA (478 nucleotides) under uncultured Planctomycetales bacterium. RNAcentral's name for it is "bacterial SSU rRNA". It matches the Rfam family "Bacterial small subunit ribosomal RNA", at positions 364 to 832 of the family's 1533-position model. Lineage: Bacteria; Pseudomonadati; Planctomycetota; Planctomycetia; Planctomycetales. The record is from RNAcentral.
UUUCGCAAUGCCCGAAAGGGUGACGAAGCGACGCCGCGUGUGGGAAGAAGGCCUUCGGGUUGUAAACCGCUGUUGGGAGUUAGGAAGUGUGGGAGUGUUAAUAGCGCUUCCACUUGACUAAAGCUCCAGAGGAAGCCACGGCUAACUCUGUGCCAGCAGCCGCGGUAAUACAGAGGCGGCAAGCGUUGUUCGGAAUUAUUGGGCGUAAGGAGCACGUAGGCGGCUCUGUAAGUCAGCUGUGAAAGCCUUCUGCUUAACGGAAGAACAGCAGUUGAAACUACAGGGCUUGAGUGCGGGAGGGGAGAGUGGAACUUCUGGUGGAGCGGUGAAAUGCGUAGAUAUCAGAAGGAACGCCGGCGGCGAAAGCGGCUCUCUGGUCCGCGACUGACGCUGAGUGUGCGAAAGCUAGGGGAGCAAACGGGAUUAGAUACCCCGGUAGUCCUAGCCGUAAACGAUGGGCACUAAGUAGAGGGGUUUU